UGGGGAAUAUUGGGCAAUGGGCGCAAGCCUGACCCAGCAACGCCGCGUGAAGGAAGAAGGCUUUCGGGUUGUAAACUUCUUUUAUGAGGGACGGAAACAAAUGACGGUACCUCAUGAAUAAGCCACGGCUAACUACGUGCC
This 141-nucleotide ribosomal RNA is filed under the name uncultured bacterium. RNAcentral describes it as "partial 16S ribosomal RNA". It matches the Rfam family "Bacterial small subunit ribosomal RNA", at positions 355 to 509 of the family's 1533-position model. The record is from RNAcentral.